AGUCGAACGCAGUAGCAAUACUGAGUGGCAGACGGGUGAGUAUAAUGUGGGAAUCUGCCUUUUGGUUCGGAAUAACACGAGGAAACUUGUGCUAAUACCGGAUAAGCCUUUACAGGGAAAGUUUUAAUGCCAAAAGAUGAGCCCGCACUUGAUUAGCUAGUUGGUAAGGUAAUGGCUUACCAAGGCAACGAUCAAUAGCUGUUCUUAGAGGAAGACCAGCCACAUUGGGACUGAGACACGGCCCAGACUCC
Molecule: ribosomal RNA, 251 nt
Filed under: uncultured Candidatus Pelagibacter sp.
Lineage: Bacteria; Pseudomonadati; Pseudomonadota; Alphaproteobacteria; Candidatus Pelagibacterales; Candidatus Pelagibacteraceae
Description: partial 16S ribosomal RNA
Rfam family: Bacterial small subunit ribosomal RNA
Source: RNAcentral